Molecule: non-coding RNA, 106 nt
Organism: Gorilla gorilla gorilla (western lowland gorilla)
Lineage: Eukaryota; Metazoa; Chordata; Mammalia; Primates; Hominidae
Source: Rfam
UUCUUUCAUGGGGAGACAAAUUUGGGUGCCACCCAAGUAUUAGCUAACCCACCAACAAUUGUCAUGUAUAUCGUGCAUUACUGCUAGCCACCAUGAAUAAUAUACA